AUCGCAGAGGGGCUGAUUCCCCCUCGCUGCAUCCCCAGGCUCCUGGGUCAACAGACUCCUGGCUGGUGGAAGACUGAGGAGGGAGAAGGCAGGGCAUCCCCCCCCUCCUGCUUCCGGGAUAUUCUUGGGCCGCAGCUGCUUCUUGUCCAUGGCACCAGCUCCUUCAGGACAGACUCGCCCUUCCUCCUUCCUCCGGUGUCCUCAGCCUCCCAGCUGCCUCUUCCUCUCUCUCUGUCCUAGAGGUUUUGGGGGCUGACUGGCCUUCUGCUCUCGGGCUUCCUUCAGUCUUGCCCGUUUGAUUCUCUGUUCCUCCCGUCACUGGUGUAACCAGUCCCUCGAAUUAAUUUCUUGGUUGUAAAUCCUUGACAUGGUUUUGUUUUUCCUGGUAGGUGGGUUCUUUAUUUGAUGCGUGUACAUAAAACGUUUAGUAUAAUGCCUGGCUCAUAGUGUGUUCUCCUUAGAUGAUAGGUAUGAACAAAUGGAAACCAAUGGAAAUUAGCUAAUCUGUAAGCAUGGUAGGUAUAAGGAAAAAACCCACAGCGUCUUUAGCUACAACUCCAAAAUCUAUAAAGCUCUAAAAACUUGAGUUUUCCAAAAAUAAGCUUUUGCUUAUUUUGAUUGCAAAUUCUGACUUUAAGUGACAUGAAGCUACUUAUAGUAUUUAUUUAUCUCACUUAGGGUGAUUUUAUUUAUGUUUUAUUGCAUACAAAUGGAUGUGUUUGAUCUCAGGAGACUGAUCAAGCUCCACUGGGAAUGUUGUGUAAGAAACGGUAUGCGCUCCUAUCUCUGUAUAAACUCCAAAAAGUUCUAAAUUCAGAAAUCCACUGGACCUAAGUACUUGGAAGAGGAGCCUGGGUGGCCGUGUCAGGUUUCAGCAAAAGUUGAACUGGCUCUGAAUGUGGAAGAGAGAGGAGUUGGGGCAGUUCCGAGGAAAAAGAAGUUGUGAAGAAACAUGUGGGGAAAAAGGGAGAAUGAGGUGCUGGUCACAGAGGAUGGAAGAGCAGGGUGUGGAGGAAGCUUUUCAGGACGAGGUGAGUUACGCUAUUGUCUGGUAAAGUCAAAUCUUAGAAUAUCAUCUUUUUACGUUAUUUUCUGCGUGAAUAUGCCAACUUACAGUAAGUACACUGUCCUAGGGACUCGAGUCGAAAAUAUAUGCACAUCCAAUUAGACCCCUAGCCUGGGAGCCUCCAUAUGCCACGGGUGCGGCCCUAGAAAAGACAAAAAAAAGAAAGAAAAGAGAAUAUUUGCACGUAAUUUCACUUUACUUUUAGUGCUUAAAAAUUAUGACAACAUCUAGACAUUCUAGGGAUGAGUGACGGGAUUUUAUUUCAUUUUCUGUCAAAGGACAGUCAUUAUUUUAUGAAUAAAACAUGGAAAAGCUCAACA
Molecule: long non-coding RNA, 1386 nt
Filed under: Sus scrofa (pig)
Lineage: Eukaryota; Metazoa; Chordata; Mammalia; Artiodactyla; Suidae
Description: lncRNA (ENSSSCG00070019485.1)
Source: RNAcentral